GUGGGGAAUUUUGGACAAUGGGGGCAACCCUGAUCCAGCCAUGCCGCGUGCGGGAAGAAGGCCUUCGGGUUGUAAACCGCUUUUGUCAGGGAAGAAAUCCUUUGGGUUAAUACCUCGGAGGGAUGACGGUACCUGAAGAAUAAGCACCGGCUAACUACGUGCCAGCAGCCGCGGUAAUACGUAGGGUGCGAGCGUUAAUCGGAAUUACUGGGCGUAAAGCGUGCGCAGGCGGUUUUGUAAGAUCGAUGUGAAAUCCCCGGGCUCAACCUGGGAACUGCAUUUGUGACUGUAUAGCUAGAGUACGGUAGAGGGGGAUGGAAUUCCGCGUGUAGCAGUGAAAUGCGUAGAUAUGCGGAGGAACACCGAUGGCGAAGGCAAUCCCCUGGACCUGUACUGACGCUCAUGCACGAAAGCGUGGGGAGCAAACAGGAUUAGAAACCCGUGUAGUCC
Molecule: ribosomal RNA, 450 nt
Filed under: uncultured bacterium
Lineage: Bacteria
Description: partial 16S ribosomal RNA
Rfam family: Bacterial small subunit ribosomal RNA
Source: RNAcentral